Molecule: ribosomal RNA, 490 nt
Filed under: uncultured bacterium
Lineage: Bacteria
Description: partial 16S ribosomal RNA
Rfam family: Bacterial small subunit ribosomal RNA
Source: RNAcentral
AGUGAACGCUGGCGGUAGGCCUAACACAUGCAAGUCGAACGGCAGCACAGUAAGAGCUUGCUCUUACGGGUGGCGAGUGGCGGACGGGUGAGGAAUACAUCGGAAUCUACUUUUUCGUGGGGGAUAACGUAGGGAAACUUACGCUAAUACCGCAUACGACCUACGGGUGAAAGCAGUGGAUCUUCGGACCUUGCGCGAUAGAAUGAGCGGAUGUCGGUUUAGCUAGUGGGCGGGGUAAAGGAACACCAAGGCGACGAUACGUAGCUGGUCUGAGAGGAUGAUCCGCCACACGAGAAGUGAGACGCGGCCCAGACUUCUGCGAGAGACAGGUGUGGAGAAUAUUGCACAAUGGGCGCAAGCGUGAUACAGCCAUACCGCGUGGGAGAAGGAGGCCUUCGGGUUGUAAAGCCGUUUUGUUGGAAGAAAAAAGCAGCAGGUUAAUACGCCGCUGUUGUGACGGUACCCAAAGAAUAAGCACCGGCUAACUGCG